Molecule: ribosomal RNA, 821 nt
Filed under: uncultured bacterium
Lineage: Bacteria
Description: bacterial SSU rRNA
Rfam family: Bacterial small subunit ribosomal RNA
Source: RNAcentral
GACGAACGCUGGCGGCGUGCCUAAUACAUGCAAGUCGAACGCACUGACAGAGAAACUUGUUUCUCUUGACGUGAGUGGCGCACGGGUGAGUAACACGUGGGAAACCUACCCUUCAGCGGGGGAUAACCGUCGGAAACGAUGGCUAAUACCGCAUAGGUCUUUUAACCGCCUGGUUGAAAGAGGAAAGACGGCUUCGGCUGUCACUGAAGGAUGGUCCCGCGGUGCAUUAGCUAGUUGGUAAGGUAACGGCUUACCAAGGCGAUGAUGCAUAGCCGACCUGAGAGGGUGAUCGGCCACAUUGGGACUGAGACACGGCCCAAACUCCUACGGGAGGCAGCAGUAGGGAAUCUUCCGCAAUGGACGAAAGUCUGACGGAGCAACGCCGCGUGUGUGAAGAAGGUCUUCGGAUCGUAAAGCACUGUUAUUAGAGAAAAACAACCGGUAGAGUAACUGUUACCGGCUUGACGGUAUCUAACCAGAAAGCCACGGCUAACUACGUGCCAGCAGCCGCGGUAAUACGUAGGUGGCAAGCGUUGUCCGGAUUUAUUGGGCGUAAAGGGAGCGCAGGCGGUGACUUAAGUCUGAUGUGAAAGCCCACGGCUCAACCGUGGAAGGUCAUUGGAAACUGGGUCACUUGAGUGCAGAAGAGGAAAGUGGAAUUCCAUGUGUAGCGGUGAAAUGCGUAGAUAUAUGGAGGAACACCAGUGGCGAAAGCGACUUUCUGGUCUGUAACUGACGCUGAGGCUCGAAAGCGUGGGGAGCAAACAGGAUUAGAUACCCUGGUAGUCACGCCGUAAACGAUGAGUGCUAAGUGUUGGAGG